This 129-nucleotide microRNA precursor is filed under the name Citrus sinensis (sweet orange). RNAcentral's name for it is "miR482a stem-loop (csi-MIR482a, csi-MIR482g)". Its record names the gene csi-MIR482a. Lineage: Eukaryota; Viridiplantae; Streptophyta; Magnoliopsida; Sapindales; Rutaceae. The record is from miRBase by way of RNAcentral.
AGGAAGUUUUGGGAGUGGGAGCGUGGGGUAAGAAGUGAAGAAAACGUAUAAUUUUUCUUUUCUUUUUCAAUUGAGAAAGAAAAUUACAAAUUCAAUUUCUUCCCUAUGCCUCCCAUUCCUAUGAUUUCC